Molecule: ribosomal RNA, 253 nt
Filed under: uncultured bacterium
Lineage: Bacteria
Description: partial 16S ribosomal RNA
Rfam family: Bacterial small subunit ribosomal RNA
Source: RNAcentral
UACGAAGGGGGCUAGCGUUGCUCGGAUUGACUGGGCGUAAAGGGCGCGUAGGCGGUUCGUACAGUCAGACGUGUAAUUCCUGGGCUCAACCUGCGGGCUGCGUUUGAUACGUGCGGACUUGAGUGCGGAAGAGGGUCGUGGAAUUCCCAGUGUAGAGGUGAAAUUCGUAGAUAUUGGGAAGAACACCGGUGGCGAAGGCGGCGACCUGGUCCGAUACUGACGCUGAGGCGCGAAAGCGUGGGGAGCAAACAGG